GGCUGGUUGGUGAAGUGGCCUAACACACUGGUUUUAGGAACCAACUGCAAAGCUGCAGUUUUCUAAGCGCACACCAGGAUUCCUGGGUUCGAAUCCCAGACUAGUCA
This is a non-coding RNA of Ustilago sp. UG-2017a, 107 nucleotides long. NCBI's taxonomy places the organism in Eukaryota, Fungi, Basidiomycota, Ustilaginomycetes, Ustilaginales, Ustilaginaceae. The record is from the annotation of a GenBank genome assembly.